Molecule: ribosomal RNA, 477 nt
Filed under: uncultured bacterium
Lineage: Bacteria
Description: bacterial SSU rRNA
Rfam family: Bacterial small subunit ribosomal RNA
Source: RNAcentral
AACGAACGCUGGCGGCGUGGUUUAGGCAUGCAAGUCGAGCGCGAACGAGAAAUUUAUUUCUCUAGUAGAGCGGCGAAAGGGUGAGUAAUGCUUGGGCAAUCUACCCCCUGCACUGGGAUAGCCACUGGAAACGGUGGGUAAUACCGGGCGGUCUCCAGGUGCCUACGGUCAUCUGGAGUAUAGGUGGGGAUCCUUAGGGACCUACCGGCAGGGGAGGAGCUCGAGUCCUAUCAGCUUGUUGGUGCGGUAACGGCGCACCAAGGCGUAGACGGGUAGCCGGACUGAGAGGUUGGCCGGCCACACUGGCACUGAGACACUGGCCAGACUCCUACGGGAGGCUGCAGUCGAGAAUCUUCCGCAAUGGACGAAAGUCUGACGGAGCGACGCCGCGUGGGGGAAGAAGGCCUUCGGGUUGUAAACUCCUGUCAGGGUUUAUGAACGCUUCCGUGGUGAAUAUCCACGGUUGUGACAAAGACC